CAGCAGCCGCGGGAAUACGUAGGUGGCAAGCGUUGUCCGGAAUUAUUGGGCGUAAAGGGCUCGCAGGCGGUUUCUUAAGUCUGAUGUGAAAGCCCCCGGCUCAACCGGGGAGGGUCAUUGGAAACUGGGAAACUUGAGUGCAGAAGAGGAGAGUGGAAUUCCACGUGUAGCGGUGAAAUGCGUAGAGAUGUGUAGGAACACCAGUGGCGAAGGCGACUCUCUGGUCUGUAACUGACGCUGAGGAGCGAAAGCGUGGGGAGCGAACAGGAUUAGAUACCCCCGUAGUCCCUGUCUCUUAUAC
RNAcentral lists this ribosomal RNA (301 nucleotides) under uncultured bacterium. Its description in RNAcentral is "partial 16S ribosomal RNA". It matches the Rfam family "Bacterial small subunit ribosomal RNA", at positions 509 to 807 of the family's 1533-position model. The record is from RNAcentral.